CAGUAGCUCAGCAAGAACUUAAGUAUAAUCAUGCCAGAUUAGUAAACUAUCGCAAGGCUUGAUCGAUCAGAUUGAUAAUAGUUUAACACAUGUGACAUGUCGUACGAAAUUGAGAUCCUGAACACUCCUACCCAGGUUGUGUAAACCUUUAUUUCGCCUACGUCGAGGGACAAAGUCUUUUCAUGGUCCUGAAAGACGUGGCACUCUCAAGCGGAAGUGCUUGCACCUCAGCAUUGCUGGAACCUUCAUAUAUUUUGCGGACCAUUGGCGCUGAAGAAGAUUUGGCGUAUUCUUCUAUUCGAUUUGAAAUUGGGCGAUUCACCACCGAAGCUGAGGUUGAUUACACGGCACAAAAGUGUAUUCAUCAAGUCACCAAACUUCGAGAAAUGAGGUAUAUACCGACCGGGUUUGGAAUUCCCCGACAAAAAAUUUAUUUCACUUCCGCUAAAAAUGUUAAUUUGUGCUAUUUCUCCUUCUUCCUUCUUUGUUUGUUUUUGGCGAAAUAAAAAUUUAUAAAUACAGCGUCGUUCUUUUUUAAAAUUAAGAUCAGUGUUUAAAAGUAGAAGAGUAUACAGAGUACAAUAAAAUAAAAAAUAACGACAAGAAAAUGAAGCACAAGACUGCCUAAUUCCAGAAUUCUUCCAAGAUAGCUCUUAGCCGAAGGCCAACGCUUGCA
This is a long non-coding RNA of Daphnia pulicaria, 676 nucleotides long. RefSeq lists it as uncharacterized. The transcript has 3 exons. The record is from RefSeq and is a predicted model, not a curated record. NCBI's taxonomy places the organism in Eukaryota, Metazoa, Arthropoda, Branchiopoda, Diplostraca, Daphniidae.